This is a non-coding RNA of Macaca mulatta (Rhesus monkey), 411 nucleotides long. The record is from RefSeq and is a predicted model, not a curated record. Lineage: Eukaryota; Metazoa; Chordata; Mammalia; Primates; Cercopithecidae.
CCAGCAUCAUGUAAUUGAAAGUAAGGAUGUCAGAUGCUCAUUUAUCCUACAGGACAUCUUCUGCUCACCCAGACAAGAGCUAUGUAAGCCACAGCCGUUCUUUCUUAACUCAGAAGGAGGAUAAUAUGUGGUAGAUUUAUAGAAGCUGGAGGCCAGGACUGUGCAUAGUUUCUGAUACAUUGAAGUGAUUUCGGUGGUUUUGUGACAUCAUUUUACUCGUGGAUUUAUGAUGAAGAAGAUCACAGCAGGCAGACACCCAAUUGCCAGUGGUGUUACAGAAGGCUGCGUGGAGGUUUUACAUUUUUGCUCUGAGUUGAAGAUUCUGAUCGAGAAGAAAGGCAAGAGAAAAGAGGAAAUGGGCCACUGUAUGACCGAAAGUGGUGGGCACCAGUAAUAAACUUACUAACGUGA